UAGAAUAUAGUGUAACAUAGGUAGCACGAAGAUUUUUGAAUUCUUAAGAGCAGGUUCAAUUCCUGUAAUUCUAG
Molecule: transfer RNA, 74 nt
Filed under: Myotis albescens
Lineage: Eukaryota; Metazoa; Chordata; Mammalia; Chiroptera; Vespertilionidae
Description: tRNA-Gln
Rfam family: tRNA
About the family: Transfer RNA (tRNA) molecules are approximately 80 nucleotides in length. Their secondary structure includes four short double-helical elements and three loops (D, anti-codon, and T loops).
Source: RNAcentral